CUCCGCUCCAAGGACAGACAGGACCGGGCAGUAUCGCAGAAGCUCCAACAGUCCGAACCGCCAUGGAGUGCGCAGGGAAGGGAAGGGGGACGAGGUGCAUCGGCCCUGUCAAAAGGCGGUGCGCUCGCUGCGGAGCCGUCGGUUACUGCUCCGUCUCUCACCAGAUUUCUCAUUGGAGUGCUCACAAAGAAGAAUGUGCAAGGUUAGAGCAACAAAUGACGCAUGCUGAAGCAUUGAAUGUUUUUCCUUUCACGUACUGUCAAGAAGCCACAGUUGAGAUUUGUCAAAAACGAGUCGGCAGGUGUUCGUUCUUGAACAAAAGGGGCAUUCAUCAGGUUGGGAUGUGGAUGUAUGAAUGCAAGUGCCACCCAUCGAGCAAUUCUUUCGACGACUUGAGGUUUCACAAUAGUUGGGAUCUUCCGAGAAUGUUAUGCCCAUGUAGAGGCCCAGUGUCUCCAAUGUCAGACCAUCUAAGUGGUUGGGAGGACUAUUAUAGGUGGAGGCAUAUACCGUUUAACUCACCUGUUGCUUUACUCCUUCAAUGGCCAAUGUUGAUAUACCAUGCCAUUCAUAUUACUAGUGCAAGGAUUUUUCCUAUUGGCGCUAGCAAGGAACUGCGUGUCCACUAUGUUGGGCCUGAGAAGGAGCUUCUACAACUUCCGGCCUUUGGUGAGUUGCAGGCACUUUUUCCUGGCUUGCGGAUUCAUAUUGUGCUUGUUGGACCCGCAGUUCCAGAGCAUAGGGAUGGUGAGACAAUUAAAGUUGGUGGUUAUGCUCAGUGUAGUGAAACCGACUGUGACUGCAAAUCCACAAGUUCUCAUGAGAGCGAAAGUUUAAACACUGCCUAUGACUCCACAGUUAUCUUGCAGCUCCGGAGAGGCUGUUAUCAUGAUAUCUACAGGAAUAUAUCAGAAGAGUCUUUCCCUAAUUUGAUUGUUGCUCCUAAUGCUGGCAUUGCUGCUUAUAGGUGCUGGUUACCUACAAUUGAGCUGAUACAAGAAAUGAAUGUCCCUGCAGUUUUUUCUGAUUACUGUGAAGAGGCUUGUCAUCUUGCAGCUCAUUGCAUGAACACUGUCGCUGGCAUAUCUUUUUCUCUUCCAAUCCAAUUGAAUCCAUUCAGGCAGCCGAUGGCGGUGGAAAACAAUGCACUUCUUCUUCCGUGCUAUUCAAAUUGCUUCCUCUUUGGAAUAUGAACCACUGAAUUGAGAAGUAAUGUAUUCGUCAAAGAUCAUAUUUAGUCAUUCGGAGAUGGUUCUGUCGAAUGAUGGAGCAUCUGGCUUUGGUACUUGAGAUGAUCCUCUGCUUGAUGUUUAGCCGCACCAAUCCAACCUGAAUUGGAUGGGGAGAAUGAAAACUUCAAGAGGUAUGACUUCCGCAUAACGAGGGUUAGUUUAUGUAGCAACAGUGAAGUUCAUCUUUGCGCAAUGGUGACUUUGGACUUGCUCUAGGACUGGCCCUUGGUCCUCCAUUUCCCUGUCACACACCUGAUUGACAUUCAGUAAUAGAGGGACUCGGCCAAAAGAUUGCUGCUGUGAGAACAAGGCAGUCCAUCGAGUGUAAGAUAUCCAUCGAGCGUGAGAUACAACUCUGCCAUGGCAGUCCCCCUUGGUACGUUGA
This is an RNA transcript of Rhodamnia argentea, 1617 nucleotides long. It is a transcript of the gene named zinc finger MYND domain-containing protein 15, with no coding region annotated. The record is from RefSeq and is a predicted model, not a curated record. Lineage: Eukaryota; Viridiplantae; Streptophyta; Magnoliopsida; Myrtales; Myrtaceae. The transcript has 12 exons.